Molecule: transfer RNA, 394 nt
Filed under: uncultured cyanobacterium
Lineage: Bacteria; Bacillati; Cyanobacteriota
Description: 16S-23S ribosomal RNA intergenic spacer
Rfam family: tRNA (bases 115-188)
Source: RNAcentral
CAAGGGAGACCCAACAACGAGUUCUAAUUGUUAUUUAUUCAACUCGUUGACAUCCCAGGUCGGUCGAGGCAAGCCGUUUUUGAUUGGCUUUCAAACUAAGAGUGGUUCGGACAUGGGCUAUUAGCUCAGGUGGUUAGAGCGCACCCCUGAUAAGGGUGAGGUCCCUGGUUCAAGUCCAGGAUGGCCCAGAGAGAAAAAAAGAGGGAAGCCAGCCCCUCUCGUUCCUAGUAUUAAGCUGUUUAGUGCUUGGGAACCGAGUCGGCUGGAGUUAAACUCCAGCAAAGAACCUUGAAAACUGCAUAACUGAAAGAAAAAUCCAAGGUGAGUUGAUGAAAGUAUUUCAUUAACUCGGCAGAACCGUAGAUCGAGACAUCUCUACUCGUAGAGAAAAAUU